Molecule: long non-coding RNA, 828 nt
Organism: Apodemus sylvaticus (European woodmouse)
Lineage: Eukaryota; Metazoa; Chordata; Mammalia; Rodentia; Muridae
Exons: 4
Source: RefSeq, a predicted model, not a curated record
AGGGGAGACCUAGGGUCCCACCUGCACGUCUGCAUCAGCGCCUGGAUGCUCUGGAAGAAGCCCACUUCCUUCUUGUCCUUCAGCCCCUCCUCCCAAGACCCUGCCUGUCCCGUUACCUGCUGUACUUCCGCGUUCCCUCCGUUGAGGAUGGAGAUGCCCAGCUUCAGGGUCGAAGACACCAUGGCACCCGUCUCUCCUGGAGGUCGCAGAGACAGAGCCAAAGAAACAGAUCACCCACCCACCAAAAAAACAAAAACAACAACAAAAACCUACUAUAGGACGUGCCUACCCUCCUACCUCAAAGGACACCUCGGCUUCCUCUUCUUCACCUCCUCCUUCUCCAUUUUCCCCGCCCUCCUCCUCCAGGUGGCAGCUCUGGGGAGCAGCAUCAGUUGGUGAGUGAGGAAAACAAAACAAAACAAAACAAAACGAUGCCCCGUCCACCCCCAGGAGCCCCUUCAGUCUGUGGGAUGCUGCGGCCGGGAGACACGGGUGGAGCAGAGGCGGGAGCUCACCUUUGCCAUGAUGUCGGCGUAAGCCAUGUACAGCUCUGGGUGUUGGAAGCCCUCCAACAGGAGACUCCUGUGCCGUGUUCAGCAACAGUAUAAAGUAGCAGCCUGUGCUCACAGAGUGACACUAAAGGGUCCCACGACUGGGGGCCAGUAAGACGGCUCAGAGGGUAAAGGACCUUGCUGCCAAGGAAAGAUGAGUUUGACUCCUGGGACCCACACGUGGUGGAUGGAAAAAACAGAUUCCUGCAAGUUUUUCUUUGACGUCCAGUGGCUAUGCACACACAAUAAAGAAAUCAGUAUAACUUAAAAUUUUAAA